GGAGAUGUGGCCGAGUGGUUUAAGGCGCACGCCUGGAAAGCGUGUUGGGGGCAACUCCUCGCAGGUUCGAAUCCUGUCAUCUCCGCCA
RNAcentral lists this transfer RNA (88 nucleotides) under Rhodospirillaceae bacterium. RNAcentral describes it as "tRNA-Ser". It matches the Rfam family "tRNA". Rfam says of the family: Transfer RNA (tRNA) molecules are approximately 80 nucleotides in length. Their secondary structure includes four short double-helical elements and three loops (D, anti-codon, and T loops). The record is from RNAcentral. Lineage: Bacteria; Pseudomonadati; Pseudomonadota; Alphaproteobacteria; Rhodospirillales; Rhodospirillaceae. RNAcentral also lists the same sequence under 2 other names.